RNAcentral lists this long non-coding RNA (353 nucleotides) under Mytilus galloprovincialis (Mediterranean mussel). Lineage: Eukaryota; Metazoa; Mollusca; Bivalvia; Mytilida; Mytilidae. The record is from RNAcentral.
UGUGUAUGCAAUUUUAUGUAUCUAAACACUGUCUUAAUUGACAAGAUUAUGGACAAAAAUAUGACAAACUUUGAAAAGUUAUACUGCAUUGUAUAAUAAAUAUUAUUCUUUAUAUCAUGUAUACAAUCAUAUUAACCACUAACUCAUCGUAUGUACAUGCAUUGGAUCGUCAAAAAGGUAAAAUCACAAAAAUACUGAACUCCUAGAAAAACUCAAUCGGAAAGGCCCUAAUCACAUGGCAAACUCAAAUGACAAACCACAUCAAACGAAUGGACAACAACUGUCAUAAUCCUGACUUGGUAGAAAAUGAUCAAUUGAACCUGAUUUCAUAGCGCUUAACCUCUCACUUGUAC